This 484-nucleotide ribosomal RNA is filed under the name Bifidobacterium longum subsp. infantis. Its description in RNAcentral is "bacterial SSU rRNA". It matches the Rfam family "Bacterial small subunit ribosomal RNA", at positions 198 to 697 of the family's 1533-position model. The record is from RNAcentral. Lineage: Bacteria; Bacillati; Actinomycetota; Actinomycetes; Bifidobacteriales; Bifidobacteriaceae.
CUGGGAAAGCUUUCGCGGUAUGGGAUGGGGUCGCGUCCUAUCAGCUUGACGGCGGGGUAACGGCCCACCGUGGCUUCGACGGGUAGCCGGCCUGAGAGGGCGACCGGCCACAUUGGGACUGAGAUACGGCCCAGACUCCUACGGGAGGCAGCAGUGGGGAAUAUUGCACAAUGGGCGCAAGCCUGAUGCAGCGACGCCGCGUGAGGGAUGGAGGCCUUCGGGUUGUAAACCUCUUUUAUCGGGGAGCAAGCGAGAGUGAGUUUACCCGUUGAAUAAGCACCGGCUAACUACGUGCCAGCAGCCGCGGUAAUACGUAGGGUGCAAGCGUUAUCCGGAAUUAUUGGGCGUAAAGGGCUCGUAGGCGGUUCGUCGCGUCCGGUGUGAAAGUCCAUCGCUUAACGGUGGAUCCGCGCCGGGUACGGGCGGGCUUGAGUGCGGUAGGGGAGACUGGAAUUCCCGGUGUAACGGUGGAAUGUGUAGAUAU